AGUUGAUCAUGGCUCAGGAUGAACGCUAGCUACAGGCUUAACACAUGCAAGUCGAGGGCAGCAUAACGAAAGCUUGCUUUGUGAUGGCGACCGGCGCACGGGUGAGUAACGCGUAUCCAACCUUCCCUAUAGUAGAGAAUAGCCCGGCGAAAGUCGGAUUAAUGCUCUAUGUUCUUCUUUGAUGGCAUCUGACGAGAAGCAAAGGUUCACCGCUAUAGGAGUGGGGAUGCGUCUGAUUAGGUAGUCGGCGGGGUAACGGCCCACCGAGCCGACGAUCAGUAGGGUUCUGAGAGGAAGGUCCCCCACAUUGGUACUGAGACACGGACCAAACUCCUACGGGAGGCAGCAGUGAGGAAUAUUGGUCAAUGGGCGAGAGCCUGAACCAGCCAAGUAGCGGUGCAGGAUGACUCGCCCUAGUUGGGUUAGUAAACUGUCUUUUAGUAGGGGAAUAAAGUGAGGUACGUGUACCUUUUGUAUGUACCCUAUGAAUAAGGACCGGCUAAUUCCGUGCCAGCCGCUGC
Molecule: ribosomal RNA, 521 nt
Filed under: uncultured bacterium
Lineage: Bacteria
Description: bacterial SSU rRNA
Rfam family: Bacterial small subunit ribosomal RNA
Source: RNAcentral